GCCGGUGUAGCUCAAUUGGCAGAGCAGCUGAUUUGUAAUCAGCAGGUUGCGGGUUCAAGUCCCAUCGCCGGCUCCA
This 76-nucleotide transfer RNA is filed under the name Clostridiales bacterium. RNAcentral describes it as "tRNA-Thr". It matches the Rfam family "tRNA". From Rfam's summary of the family: Transfer RNA (tRNA) molecules are approximately 80 nucleotides in length. Their secondary structure includes four short double-helical elements and three loops (D, anti-codon, and T loops). Lineage: Bacteria; Bacillati; Bacillota; Clostridia; Eubacteriales. The record is from RNAcentral. RNAcentral also lists the same sequence under 6 other names.